Molecule: ribosomal RNA, 492 nt
Filed under: uncultured bacterium
Lineage: Bacteria
Description: partial 16S ribosomal RNA
Rfam family: Bacterial small subunit ribosomal RNA
Source: RNAcentral
AGUGAACGCUGGCGGUAGGCCUAACACAUGCAAGUCGAACGGCAGCACAGUAAGAGCUUGCUCUUACGGGUGGCGAGUGGCGGACGGGUGAGGAAUACAUCGGAAUCUACUUUUUCGUGGGGGAUAACGUAGGGAAACUUACGCUAAUACCGCAUACUACCUACGGGUGAAAGCAGGGGAUCUUCAGACCUUGCGCGAUUGAAUGAGCCGAUGUCGGAUUAGCUAGUUGGCGGGGUAAAGGCCCACCAAGGCGACGAUCCGUAGCUGGUCUGAGAGGAUGAUAGGCCACACUGGAACUGAGACACGGUCCAGACUCCUACGGGAGGCAGCAGUGGGGAAUAUUGGGCAAUGGGCGCAAGCCUGAUCCAGCCAUACCGCGUGGGUGAAGAAGGCCUUCGGGUUGUAAAGCCCUUUUGUUGGGAAAGAAAAGCAGCAGGUUAAUACCCCGCUGUUCUGACGGUACCCAAAGAAUAAGCACCGGCUAACUUCGUG